This is a regulatory RNA element of 117 nucleotides. It matches the Rfam family "ALIL pseudoknot". The record is from Rfam.
GGCAUAUUUCGCGCGGGCGGAGUUCGACCGCCGAUCGAAGCCAUGAUCGCGUUCAUCGACGAGCAUCGCGACGUCUACGGUGUCGAGCCGAUCUGCCGCCUGUUGCCGAUCGCGCCG